RNAcentral lists this long non-coding RNA (281 nucleotides) under Ananas comosus (pineapple). RNAcentral's name for it is "long non-coding RNA (ACOM_LNC015168)". The record is from RNAcentral. Lineage: Eukaryota; Viridiplantae; Streptophyta; Magnoliopsida; Poales; Bromeliaceae.
CAAUAUCGUUGAAAUUCGAUAUCUCACAUUCUCCACCCCUUAAAAGGAGUUUCGUCCUCGAAACAACUCAACCCUUAACUCGAACAAAACUCUUACCUCAAUCCUCAAACAAGUGAGGAUGAUUCGCUUUCAUCUGGUCCUCGAGUUCCCAAGUGGCUUCGCGAUCGUCGUGAUUGCUCCACAGGACUUUAACAUAGAAAAUUUCUCGAUUCCUUAGCUUACGCACCUCUCAAGCCAAAAUCUCUACCGGAAACUCUUCAUAAUCCAUUUUUUCCAAAUUU